GACGAAGGUGGCGAGCGUUGUUCGGAAUCACUGGGCUUAAAGAGCACGUAGGCGGGCCGCUUUGCGUCCUGUGAAAUCCCCCGGCUCAACCGGGGAAUGGCAGGGCGAACGGGCGGUCUUGAGGCAGGUAGAGGUGUGGGGAACUCUUGGUGGAGCGGUGGAAUGCGUAGAUAUCAAGAGGAACGCCGGAGACGAAGGUGCCGCACUGGGCCUGUCCUGACGCUGAGGUGCGAAAGCCAGGGGAG
RNAcentral lists this ribosomal RNA (245 nucleotides) under uncultured bacterium. RNAcentral describes it as "partial 16S ribosomal RNA". It matches the Rfam family "Bacterial small subunit ribosomal RNA", at positions 524 to 768 of the family's 1533-position model. The record is from RNAcentral.